Molecule: ribosomal RNA, 696 nt
Filed under: uncultured bacterium
Lineage: Bacteria
Description: bacterial SSU rRNA
Rfam family: Bacterial small subunit ribosomal RNA
Source: RNAcentral
CAUGCAAGUCGUGCGAGAAAGUAUCCUCGGAUAUGAGUAGAGCGGCGGACGGGUGAGUAACGCGUUGGAAUCUACCUAGUAGAAGGGGAUAGCCCGAGGAAACUCGGAUUAAUACCGUAUACCUCCUUCGGGAGAAAGAAGGCCUCUCUUUGAAGCUUUCGCUACUAGAUGAGCCUGCGUAAGAUUAGCUUGUUGGUGAGGUAAAGGCUCACCAAGGCGACGAUCUUUAGCGGGUCUGAGAGGACGAUCCGCCACAUUGGGACUGAGACACGGCCCAGACUCCUACGGGAGGCAGCAGUGGGGAAUAUUGGACAAUGGGCGCAAGCCUGAUCCAGCCAUACCGCGUGUGUGAAGAAGGCCCUAGGGUUGUAAAGCACUUUAAGUUGGGAAGAAAAGUUAUUGAUUAAUACCCAAUAACCGUGACAUUACCAUCAGAAUAAGGGCCGGCUAAUUCCGUGCCAGCAGCCGCGGUAAUACGGAAGGUCCAAGCGUUAAUCGGAAUUACUGGGCGUAAAGCGCGGGUAGGUGGUUUAUUAAGUUGGAUGUGAAAUCCCCGGGCUCAACCUGGGAACUGCAUCCAAAACUGAUUCACUAGAGUACGAUAGAGGGAGGUAGAAUUCACAGUGUAGCGGUGGAAUGCGUAGAUAUUGUGAAGAAUACCAAUGGCGAAGGCAGCCUCCUGGAUCUGUACUGACA